RNAcentral lists this ribosomal RNA (245 nucleotides) under uncultured bacterium. RNAcentral describes it as "partial 16S ribosomal RNA". It matches the Rfam family "Bacterial small subunit ribosomal RNA", at positions 524 to 758 of the family's 1533-position model. The record is from RNAcentral.
UACGUAGGGGGCGAGCGUUGUCCGGAAUUACUGGGCGUUAAAAGGGCGAGUAGGCGGCUAUAUACAAGUACAGAUUGUCGAAAUACCAGGGCUCAACCCUGGUACUGCAUUUGAAACUGUGUAAGCUUGAGUUACAGGACGAGGAAAGGUGGAAUUCCCAGUGUAGCGGUGAAUGACGUAGAUAUUGGGAGGAACACCAGUGGCGAAGGCGACUUCUGGUCUGUAACUGACGCUGAGGCGCGAAA